GUGGUGAUGAUGGCGAUACCUUGCAGGAUCCCCCAGGGAGAAGUGCAGACAAUACAAUAAUUAUCGUGGGUCCCUCUUAGCCGCUGCGAAUAUGACCGGGCGAACGAGGCCAAUUGAGAAGUUUGCCAAAGCUACCGCCCAGUGCUCUGCUCAGGCCUCCGCGUACGGCAAAUGUGUCUUCGCUGAUUAUAAUGCGAUCCGAAAGGAUAUGUGCGCAAAGGAGUUUAUGAAGCUAAAGGAAUGCUAUCUGGCAGCGGCUAAGAAGCCAUGAUAACGGGCAACUGGUUUGUAAGAUGGAAUGGCAUACCGUUACUUUAAUAUGAAAGAACUCGCAGAAAUAUGGCAAUAUGGCAUCCCGGUUUAUUCUGGUUUACAUGUAGAAUAGCGGAAUCAAUUAGUUUUAGUAGGGAAAAAAAUCAUCCAUAUCUACGCAGUAGCAAGCACCCUGACGACCCUUUCAACUUCACAAUAACCUGAUAAACCACAGAAUCCAGCUUCCAUGAUGAAAACCCUCUUAGUCUUCUUUUUGCUUCAAAUAUUUCUAACUACAACUUCACCAGCCGAAGCAAGAAGGUCGCUUUUUGUACCUCCUGCUCUUCUUCUAAAAUGAUCCCCUCUUCCUCGCCUUCGGGUGCCCUCCCUUCGACCUCUGUGACUAUAUGUUGGUCGAUCGGUCUACGCAGCGCUUUUUCAAUCGCCUUCGACUGCGUCUGGAAAACGCGCUCGAUGCCGACAUUGUCAGGGUCAGAGAGAACCCGAUACUCCAUCCCCACGUCGUCAGUUGGAACCAACCCCGCCUUUUUUCGCAGCCGCUGGACUCGGUUCACGAUUUCCCUUGCUAGCCCUUCCUCAGCUAACUCAGGGUAUAAAACUGCGUCCAGGAUGAUAAGUACAUCAUCAUCUGUAUUCGUUUCAAAGUCCUUGGAAGAUGCGUCGUCUUUCAAGCCGCGCCUGAUUACCAGAUCCCCGUCGACAAGCUCAAUGCCAUCAACCACCAUCUUCUUGUCAGUGACGAAUCGCUUAACAUCGUUACUUGAGAGCGAUGGUAGCGCUUUCUUAACCCUUUGAGCAUCUUUCUUCAAUUUCUUGCCUAGAGUGGGCCAAUCUGCUGUGACACUGUACUGGACAUUGUACUUAUCCUCAUCGGAUGAGAGAACCAGAUCCCGGAUAUUAAGCUCUUCCAGAAUGUAGCUCUCUAGGGAUCUCACAUCAUCGAGAUAUUGUUUUUCCUGGUGGAUCACAACGAGCGUCUUCAGGGGUGACUUGAGGCCAAUGCUUCUGCGUUCACGUGCAAUGCGACCAAGCUCAAUCACCUUCUGCAUCCGACCGACCUGUCUCUCAAUGACAUCAUCAAAAAGUUCUUCACGAACCUCAGGGAAAGCGAGGAAAUGGACGCUGCGGCUAUCCUCGGCUUGAAGGGAUUUUGGUAUAUGAGGAAGGAGUCGAAGGUAUAUAUUAUCGGUGAUGAAAGGAGUGAAAGGUGCGAGGCCGCGGACUAGGGUAUAAAGGACCUCGAAAAGGGUAUUUAACGCGUGUAAAGUGUCGUCCAACCCAAGCUCCCCCUUCAGCCUCCUACGGUUGAACCGAAUGUACCAGUUGGUGGUGUUAUCGAUCAAUCCUAGUAGUCUCGGAACAACAGUAUAAAGCCGGUACCCAGCCAUUUCUUGAUUGACAAAUUUGAGUAGACUCUGACAGCUUGCCAGAAUCCAGCGAUCCAUGACAUUCGUGUUGGUUGCUUCCGCCGCUGGAUCGAACACAUACUCCACGUCCUCGAUCUUUUUCAGCAGCGCAACCUGAGCUUCGAAGAAUUUGUAACUAUUCCACAAGGGGAGCAGAACUUUGGCGACAAUUUCUUUCACGCCUGAUUCCUUGAAUCUUAAGGGCUCUGCGCGAACGACUGGAGAGUUAAUGAGGUAAAGCCGAAGCGGGUCAGACCCAUAGCGAUCCAUAAUGAGAGUUGGGUCUGGGUAAUUUUUCAAUCGCUUUGACAUUUUCUUGCCGUCUUCAGCGAGUACAAUUCCAUUCACAACACAGUUCUUGAAUGGCAGCUUUCCGUACAGGUGCGUGCUAAUGACAGCGAGUGUAUAAAACCAACCUCGGGUCUGGUCAAGGCCUUCUGCGAUGAAAUCACCCGGGAACGACUUCUCAAAAUGUUCUUUGUUCUCAAAGGGAUAAUGCUGGGAAGCAUAGGGCAUACUUCCGGAUUCAAACCAACAAUCAAGAACUUCCUCGACCCUUCGUAAUACACCCUUCCCUUGCUUGCUUGGGAUAGUGAUGUGGUCAAUCUUAUCGCGAUGGAGGUCCGUGAGUUCACCAGUAUAUCCACUGAGCUGUCUGAGCUCCUCAACGCUGCCAAUAGCUAUAAUUUCUUUGUAAUCCUCACUGGCCCACAAUGGGAUCGGAGUUCCCCAGUAUCGAUUUCUCGAAAUGUUCCAAUCCCUUGCAUUCGCAAUCCAACUUGCGAAUCGUUUGUCUUUGACAAAGGAAGGGACCCAAUAAGACUCCUCUAUCCCUUGAAGCAUUUGGGGAAUAAUGGGACCUAUUUUGACGAACCACGAAGGCACAGCUCUAUAGAUCAAAGGAGUGUCAGAUCUCCAGC
RNAcentral lists this small RNA (2599 nucleotides) under Histoplasma capsulatum. RNAcentral's name for it is "hypothetical RNA". The record is from RNAcentral. RNAcentral also lists the same sequence under 1 other name. Lineage: Eukaryota; Fungi; Ascomycota; Eurotiomycetes; Onygenales; Ajellomycetaceae.